CCUACGGGAGGCAGCAGUGGGGAAUAUUGCACAAUGGGGGAAACCCUGAUGCAGCGACGCCGCGUGAGUGAAGAAGCAUCUCGGUACGUAAAGCUCUAUCAGCAGGGAAGAAAAUGACGGUACCUGACUAAGAAGCCCCGGCUAACUACGUGCCAGCAGCCGCGGUAAUACGUAGGGGGCAAGCGUUAUCCGGAUUUACUGGGUGUAAAGGGAGCGUAGCCGGGAGGAGAAGUCUGGAGUGAAAUCCCGGGGCUUAACCCCGGAACUGCUUUGGAAACUGUGCGGCGGGAGUGCAGGAGGGGUAAGGGGAAUUCCUAGUGUAGCGGUGAAAUGCGUAGAUAUUAGGAGGAACACCGGUGGCGAAGGCGGCUUACUGGACUGUAACUGACGUUGAGGCUCGAAAGCGUGGGGAGCAAACAGGAUUAGAUACCCUAGUAGUC
This 440-nucleotide ribosomal RNA is filed under the name uncultured bacterium. RNAcentral describes it as "partial 16S ribosomal RNA". It matches the Rfam family "Bacterial small subunit ribosomal RNA", at positions 338 to 795 of the family's 1533-position model. The record is from RNAcentral.